GCUCUUGUAGUUUAGUGGUUAUAAUUUUGCACUUGUAUUCGAUACAAGAACGUCCGAACGGUCAUGCAAGGGUCUUGAGUUCAAAUCUCAACGGGAGCA
Kwoniella mangroviensis CBS 10435 is the source of this 99-nucleotide transfer RNA. It matches the Rfam family "tRNA". From Rfam's summary of the family: Transfer RNA (tRNA) molecules are approximately 80 nucleotides in length. Their secondary structure includes four short double-helical elements and three loops (D, anti-codon, and T loops). The record is from Rfam. NCBI's taxonomy places the organism in Eukaryota, Fungi, Basidiomycota, Tremellomycetes, Tremellales, Cryptococcaceae.